UUGAUGUAACAAUGAAUGACUCCCUCAUCCUAAGUCCUCUUUCCCAGUAUUUGAAGUGUCAGACAUACCUGGCUUCUCUUCUAGGCCACUACAGUGAGUCAGGUUUAUUUUGGUGGUUGAAUGAUACCUGGGAGUUGGAACAGUGAAAAGACCCUGAGCACAUAUUCAGCCUUGGUGUCCGUCUCCUCCUCACGGCCUCUUCUCCGUCUCAGAAGCAUAAUCCUUAUUUCAGAUCCACAUGAGUUCCCUCAAACCAGAGAUGCCCAACCAAAGUCUUCCCGGUGCUUUGAGAUGUGGAGAAAAAUGAAUCCUCCUGAUCACAGAUGCAAGUUACAGACCUUGUGCACAAGCUUUUGGGGCCACAGAGCUGUCACAUGUAUCACAGGAUAGAGGUCAUCACAGGUGAAGGUGACUGGGGGUCAGAGGGCUCAGGGCUUCGUACAAGGUCAAGUUAACUAGUGAGCAGUGGGAAUUCAGAAAU
This is a non-coding RNA of Odocoileus virginianus texanus, 481 nucleotides long. The record is from RefSeq and is a predicted model, not a curated record. NCBI's taxonomy places the organism in Eukaryota, Metazoa, Chordata, Mammalia, Artiodactyla, Cervidae.